UACCAAGGCUUGACAUGCAGGGAAAUCCUCCAGAGAUGGGGGGUCCGCAAGGGUCCUGCACAGGUGGUGCAUGGUUGUCGUCAGCUCGUGUCGUGAGAUGUUGGGUUAAGUCCCGCAACGAGCGCAACCCUCGUUCUAUGUUGCCAGCGCGUGAUGGCGGGGACUCAUAGGAGACUGCCGGGGUCAACUCGGAGGAAGAA
This 200-nucleotide ribosomal RNA is filed under the name uncultured bacterium. RNAcentral describes it as "partial 16S ribosomal RNA". It matches the Rfam family "Bacterial small subunit ribosomal RNA", at positions 972 to 1174 of the family's 1533-position model. The record is from RNAcentral.